RNAcentral lists this ribosomal RNA (370 nucleotides) under uncultured organism. RNAcentral's name for it is "bacterial SSU rRNA". It matches the Rfam family "Bacterial small subunit ribosomal RNA", at positions 527 to 896 of the family's 1533-position model. The record is from RNAcentral.
CGGGGGGGCAAGCGUUGUCGGAAUUACUGGGCGUAAAGGGUGCGUAGGCGGCUCUCUAAGUCGGAUGUGAAAACUCUGGGCUCAACCCAGAGCCUGCAUCCGAAACUGGAGGGCUAGGGUUCUGGAGGGGAAAGCGGAAUUCCUGGUGUAGCGGUGAAAUGCGUAGAUAUCAGGAGGAACACCGGUGGCGAAGGCGGCUUUCUGGACAGAUACCGACGCUGAGGCACGAAAGCUAGGGGAGCAAACAGGAUUAGAUACCCUGGUAGUCCUAGCCCUAAACUAUGGAUACUUGCUGUGGGGGGGAUUGAAGCCCCUUGUGGCGAAGCUAACGCAUUAAGUAUCCCGCCUGGGGAGUACGGUCGCAAGGCUG